GGAUUUCCCGCAGGCGCCGGUGGCUGCGCAGCGCCGCUUCCAAGUCGCGCACCGCUCGCUCGUAGUCUCCGCUGUAGUAGGCGGCCGCGCCGCUGGCGUAGAGCAGGUCGAAGGGCUGCAGAGGCCCGGGCUCCAGCUCCAGCUCCCGGCGUGGGCUGUCCGGGGGGCCGCCCCACAGUGGCGGCGGCAGUAGCAGCGGCAGCAGCAGCAGCAGCGGCGGCGCCCAGAUGCGCUCCCGCAUCCUCCGCCUCAGAGAGGCGCGGGACGGUUACGCUCGAGAGGGCUUCGGGGCACCUCGCGUCCGGGUCCCCUCUCCCACCUUCCCUCGGGGAAGCGCGCCGACUCCGCCGCGAUCUGGCCGCUCCGCGAGCCCCAGGUGACCGCCGGCGCUCCGCGUACUGAGAGGCGGAGGCCGUGCCUGGCCAGCCGCUCUUAAAGGGACGCCCACAGCUCACACGCUCCUCCUGCUGCCUGAGACUCCGAGAGCCGCUCUCCCAGGCUCCCCGCUGCAGCGGCGGGGCUGCCAGGGGCGGCACACUCCAGCGCCAGCCAGAGAGCUAGCGCCGCUUGAGGCCGGCCGGGGACGAGGCGCUUUACACUGCCUGAUGGGUACUAGCAGCCCACCCCAGCCAGAUGGAGGACAAGGCCUCUCCAAGUCUCAAGGAAAUGCACAAUCCUUCCUUACCUCUGGCCUCAGAACUCUCAGCAUCUCAUUGAUUAGCAACCUCAUCUGUGGCAAAUCUAAGACAUGCAUGAAAUUUGGUGCCGUGACUCAGAUCGUGACCUCCCUUGGGAGGUCCUCCUGUUCUUUGCUCCUUGAGAAAGAUCCACCUAUGGUCCUCAGACCGACCAGCCCAAGAAACAUCUCACCAAUUUCAA
Molecule: long non-coding RNA, 879 nt
Filed under: Homo sapiens (human)
Lineage: Eukaryota; Metazoa; Chordata; Mammalia; Primates; Hominidae
Description: HSALNT0066206
Source: RNAcentral